This is a long non-coding RNA of Rhododendron vialii, 552 nucleotides long. RefSeq lists it as uncharacterized. The record is from RefSeq and is a predicted model, not a curated record. NCBI's taxonomy places the organism in Eukaryota, Viridiplantae, Streptophyta, Magnoliopsida, Ericales, Ericaceae. The transcript is spliced from 2 exons.
UCAUCAUCUGAAAUCAAUCAACCCCACAUUGGCACGCGUCUUAGAACAUAUGUGCCAGGAAAAGAAGAGAAGAAAGAAAAAUAGAACUGAAAAGAAAGAUGUUGAAAUGUGGAACACUACAAACCGAACAAUAUUUCAUAAACAAGUGUUUAGAGUGCUGUAUGGAAGCAGAGCAUUACUUCUAGUAAGGGGCUUACGUUGGAGAGAGGAAUUGAAAGUGCAAAACCAGUACAAGCACUUGUCAUCACAUGGAAGAUAACCAUAGCGAAUUCCUCCUUCAAAGUAGACAUGAAACCUUGGCUGAAAGCCAUGACCAUCAGGGUACUGAACAAAGCCCCUCAUGGCUGAACGCCCAGAAUAAACAGGUUUUUGAAGACCCAGCCACUUCGCAACCGAUGAAUUAACUCCGUCACAACCAAUCAACACCUUCAGUUGGAACACAAAGAAGGGUUAGUCAUCAAAACCUAUCAUAUUUAAUCAUUGUAUGACAUUUUAGCGGUAAAGAUGAUUCCCACGCGUUUCAAAAUGCAGAAUCUAGACGUUAUCCGAACA